Molecule: ribosomal RNA, 342 nt
Filed under: uncultured organism
Description: bacterial SSU rRNA
Rfam family: Bacterial small subunit ribosomal RNA
Source: RNAcentral
AUCCACCAAACAGUUUGGGCCGAAUCCCAAAGAAACGAAAGCAAAAAAGCUUCGAUAAAGCUAAAAAGCGCUGUUUGAUGAGCCUGCGUAGUAUUAGGUAGUUGGUUGGGUAAAGGCUGACCAAGCCGCAGAUGCUUAGCUGAUCUUUUCGGACGAUCAGCCACACUGGGACUGAGACACGGCCCAGACUCCGUAUGGAGGCAGCAGUGGGGAAUAUUGGACAAUGGGCGAAAGCCCGAUCCAGCAAUAUCGCGUGAGUGAGUGAAAAACGUCGCGUUAGCGAGGAAGGGCAAUGCCGCUUGUAAAGCUCUUUCGUCGAGUGCGCGAUUAUGACAAGACUCG